RNAcentral lists this ribosomal RNA (99 nucleotides) under uncultured bacterium. Its description in RNAcentral is "partial 16S ribosomal RNA". It matches the Rfam family "Bacterial small subunit ribosomal RNA", at positions 392 to 508 of the family's 1533-position model. The record is from RNAcentral.
CAAUACCGCGUGAAUGAUGAAGGCCUUAGGGUUGUAAAGUUCUUUUAGUAGGGAAGAUAAUGACGGUACCUACAGAAAAAGCCCCGGCUAACUCCGUGC